CGCGUAGGCGGCUUUGUAAGUCGGAUGUGAAAGCCCCGGGCUUAACCUGGGAAUUGCAUUCGAUACUGCAUAACUAGAGUAUGGUAGAGGGAAGUGGAAUUUCCGGUGUAGCGGUGAAAUGCGUAGAUAUCGGAAGGAACACCAGUGGCGAAGGCGACUUCCUGGGCCAAUACUGACGCUGAGGUGCGAAAGCGUGGGGAGCAAACA
This 207-nucleotide ribosomal RNA is filed under the name uncultured bacterium. Its description in RNAcentral is "partial 16S ribosomal RNA". It matches the Rfam family "Bacterial small subunit ribosomal RNA", at positions 568 to 774 of the family's 1533-position model. The record is from RNAcentral.